This is a long non-coding RNA of Daucus carota subsp. sativus, 806 nucleotides long. RefSeq lists it as uncharacterized. The record is from RefSeq and is a predicted model, not a curated record. Lineage: Eukaryota; Viridiplantae; Streptophyta; Magnoliopsida; Apiales; Apiaceae. The transcript has 2 exons.
AGAAAGUUUUAAAAUAUUUAAUUUAAUAAAAAAUUUAUGUCAAUUAUUUCGACGAAAGUCACAAUUGCUUACACAAAAACAAACUAAAGUAGCAGCCCAAUCCCUAGCAGUCCGUCCGAUAUGAAGUCCGAUGAAUAAAAUCCAAUACAGGCCCAAUAGCUCUCCACAGAAACCCUAGUCUCUAUCUCUACUUAUUCCCACUCCACUCCUGAUUGUCGUCGAAGCUGCUGAGCGUCUCACAAUGAGAACUCAAUUCAAUUGUUUUAAACCCCUAAAUCUCACACCCAAACGACGCCGUUCCACCAAUCACAAAAGCUCCUGUCCAAGAAGCUGCUUUGUUUCCGCUACAAUUAACAAAACUCACCGCCAUAUCUCCUUUGAAUCAAAGUGAGGAGGCUGAUGAGUUGUCGAACUCUGGAAGACAGUGAGGAAACGUCACGGACUGCAUCAGAAAUGGCUGAUGUUCUGUAUCAUGCAAUGGUAUUAUUGUCUAUUUGUCUGUGAGAGGAGUGAAUAUAGAAGAGGUUUUAACAGUCCUCAGGCAAAGAUUUUCAAGAUCAGGCAUCGAGGAAAAAUUAGUCGCAAGCUGGAAGGAAGCUGAAGUAAACAUCUUCUGUUAGCAAAUACACAAAAGAAAAUUGUGUAUACAACUGUAUGUACAGAAGAAAAAUGUCAUUAGAAAGUACUCAGAUAAUUGCCUUGCAAGGCAAUUUGAUUAUGAUUGAGGUGGCCCAACUCGAAGGUAUUUUUUUCUAAGAGGGGUGUAUUGGAUUGGGAUUUUAAAGGAUUUUUUUGCAUUCAUGAAA